This 1492-nucleotide long non-coding RNA is filed under the name Setaria viridis. RNAcentral's name for it is "long non-coding RNA (SVIR_LNC006147)". Lineage: Eukaryota; Viridiplantae; Streptophyta; Magnoliopsida; Poales; Poaceae. The record is from RNAcentral.
UUUCAAUCAUUUGUGUUCCAUGGAAUUGAUGUGUUCAGAAAAGCUAUUCCAAGAUUUUGUUGUCCCAAGCAAAAUACCUAAGAAUACCAGCAUGAAAUUAACUGUCUCUUGUUUUAUUUCAGUAAGUUGCAGAGCGACGCUCUGAGGGAGGCAAUUGCCUCAGUUACCAAUGACUCCCGUGAAAAGCAGCGCAAGUUUGUCGAAACCAUUGAGCUACAGAUUGGACUGAAGAACUAUGACCCUCAAAAGGACAAGCGUUUCAGUGGUUCUGUUAAGCUGCCUCACAUCCCUCGCCCUAAGAUGAAGGUUUGCAUGCUUGGUGAUGCUCAGCACGUUGAGGAGGUAUGCUAUGUUUGUACCAUUGUUUCCAUUUUUUGCAUUGAAUUGCCCGUUCUCAGAAUUUAAUCCUUUUCACUAGUGGUGAAGUAUUAUUUCUAUCAAAGCAUUGACUGGCUGUGGCUGUUAUGCUUGAUUUAAACUAUAUCGUGAAUCAGUCUAUAAUUUGUGAGUUUGUGUUAUGUCACUUCUGCUAUGCCUUGUUCACCACCAUUUAGAUUUAUCAUAUCUAGAUUCUAUGCUAUUUGCCUAUACCUGCUCUAAUAUCUUUUUACAAUGUGCUAUUCAGGCAGGGAGAAUAGGUCUGGACAGUAUGGAUGUGGAAGCCCUCAAGAAGAUGAACAAAAACAAGAAGCUAGUUAAGAAGCUCGCAAAGAAAUACCAUGCUUUCCUUGCAUCUGAGGCCAUCAUUAAGCAAAUUCCUCGUCUUCUUGGACCUGGUCUUAACAAGGCAGGCAAGGACAUCUAACUUCCAUCUAUUACAUUAUAUAGGCAUUUGUUGUGAUUUUUAAGUGCAAUGAGCUACUUCUCAUUAACUGUGAGAUAGACUGUAUAAACUACGUGUGGACGUUUCUUUGUGUCUGUUAUAAUAUGGCAACUUUGUUUCUUGAAUCAUAGUUCAUAUUUUUCUCUUCGUUAGUACAAUCAGUGUAAUUUUGAACUUUUGUCGCCUUGAUUCUGCUAUCAUUUUGUGAUUGCCUGACCCUAACUAGUCUGCAAUUAAUUAUCAUGAUUUUUACCACUCAAUAUGUUUGUACAUGGUUUGGUUUACUCGAGUUGCUCAUCUUACAUGAACAUCACUGCAGGAAAGUUCCCUACUUUGGUGUCUCAUCAGGAAUCCCUUGAAUCCAAGGUUAAUGAGACUAAGGCUACAGUUAAGUUCCAGCUGAAGAAGGUGCUUUGCAUGGGUGUUGCUGUUGGCAACUGCGGCAUGGAUGAGAAGCAAAUCUUCCAGAAUGUGCAAAUGAGCGUCAACUUCCUUGUGUCACUCUUGAAGAAGAAUUGGCAGAAUGUAUGUCUCAACCCUCGAUUUCCCUUGCAUCUGUGUAAAAUUCGUGCUUGUUCCGUUAUGAUAGAUCACUGAGUUUUGCUGACACCUUUUGUUUGUGUUUGCAGGUGAGAUGCCUGUACCUGAAGAGCACUAUGGGAAAGGUGU